This 267-nucleotide long non-coding RNA is filed under the name Bos taurus (domestic cattle). RNAcentral's name for it is "long non-coding RNA NONBTAT002873". The record is from RNAcentral. Lineage: Eukaryota; Metazoa; Chordata; Mammalia; Artiodactyla; Bovidae.
GAGCAACUGCUGCAGUUACUGAUCAUAUCUGUUGAGUGCUGACAAGGGGAAGAUACCAGGUUCCCCACUCUCUUCUGAAUAAUGAAAAUAAGUAGAGAGACGACACUCUUUGGCAGUCACUUUCCUUUGGGGAGGGGAAGGGAAGGUAGGAAAAGUGACCUGUUUCUUCUCCUCCCGGGUGUAUUUGUGGGUUGUAUCUUCAAAGAUGGCUUAGAGUCAGUUCUGCUAAAUUUCCUCUGAAAUGCUUGGCAAAUGGGUAUCAGCCAC